This is a long non-coding RNA of Topomyia yanbarensis, 1421 nucleotides long. RefSeq lists it as uncharacterized. NCBI's taxonomy places the organism in Eukaryota, Metazoa, Arthropoda, Insecta, Diptera, Culicidae. The transcript is spliced from 3 exons. The record is from RefSeq and is a predicted model, not a curated record.
AUGAUUUUGACACGCCGCCGAUUUUAGGAAAAAAUGGUCAGCGCGCCGAUUGCCUUUUUUGUGCUGCGCCGCCGAUCAUAUUUAAACUCGCGCCGAGUCCAUUGUAAACGACCCAAUGGGUCACGCGCCUCAUCGAGACGACCAGAUCUAAAAAACCCAUAAACUUAACGAUCAUGACAGGAGACCCACCGUGUACUCGAUCGCGCUGGUAUGAAACGACAACCAGUAGAAGAAAGCCAAUCCGCGUGUGCUGAAGAUUAUAUUCUAAAAAGUUUACUCGAUUUAUAAAUUAUAAAGAUUUAUUUGAAAUUGUAUUUAAAACACAGUUAUACGCUGCAAUUUGCAAGUCGCGUUAGAUGUAUUAACUCGUAAAGCAGCUGUGAUCAUUAUCGGUGAUAGAAAUUCACAUUUAACAAUCUGUAACUAAUUCGAGUCACGAUUAGGUCACUAGUGACGCUGCUGAAGAAUUGACACGAAGUCACAAAUAAGUUGCGAACGCAAAUAUAGGAGGAAUAGAAGAGGAAUAAAUACUAAACGUAAGUUAUGCGCUCUGAAUUGUAUAUAGCAUAUGCUUAUAACAUAUCAUUGUCAUCCUAGGAAGUUUUUAUUAUUCAUUGUGAAUAAAUAAUUAUUCGGAAAUCAUUUGAUCCUCUCAUUGCGAAGCAACAAUUUGACCUGAAUGUGUAUUGAGUGAAAGAAUUUUGGUUUACUUUACGAUAAUCUUAUUGGUUGUAAUAGUUUUGUGUGAUUCUUACCAUUACCAAUCUUGAGGCAGCAUAUUGUAGUCCAUAUGGAAACAAAGCUGCUUUCGAACCGCACGGCAAUUCAGCAAGAAAUUAAACUGUCACCGUAUCUGUGAGCGGUUUGCUUAUGAACUGUGAAUUUAUAUAGUGUUCCGCUGUUUAAAGACUGGACAAGCGAAUAUCAGCCGAAUAGGUCGGUAAAAGGUAUUAAGAUAUUCAGAAGUUAAGCAAUAUACUUGUUCUAAGCGUUUCUUGUUUUACUAAUCAAUCAAUCGAUAUGAUAAUAAAAUAGCCUGGACAAUACUUUUGCUGACUUCCUACUCGCAUAGUCAUCCGGAUCGCAGCAAUCAACAGUCAGUCUGUGGAAACCAUAAUACUCCCUACUGUUGAAUUCUCAGUAGUUAAAGACACAAGUUACUUAGUGCAAGAACAUAUUUGGCUCAUGCGGAAUUAGAUAGCAUAUCGACCGAAUGAUGUCACUUUUUCAUGGUUAGAAACAGUUAAAACUUAAUGAACCGACAUAUAAGCCAGUACAAUUGUUUCUACAAAAUCUGUGUAAAUAUUUAAAUAAAAAUACGUUGCAAAUUACCAUCGCACGCGUGAAUCACCAUUCUACUCAAAUUUGCACGCAAGCAAAGCUCGUAUAGCGAUUGCUGAACAUCUACUGGCGAUGUUGAA